Long non-coding RNA from Chroicocephalus ridibundus (black-headed gull), 6101 nucleotides. RefSeq lists it as uncharacterized. The transcript has 3 exons. Lineage: Eukaryota; Metazoa; Chordata; Aves; Charadriiformes; Laridae. The record is from RefSeq and is a predicted model, not a curated record.
CCGGAUCCCAAAACAUGUAUGAGAUGUGGAAGACUUUCUCUUGUGGACUGGGCUUGUUACUGUCAGCACAUGGUAUGCCAGCAGUGACACCUUUUAGAGAAGGAGGUGCAGAAAGGAUGCCGUUGGAGCCUCUGUGAGAAUACAGUUUUUGGCACCAGGUUGUAUACGUUGUGCCCAGGUGGUUGCACAUCAAACAGUUCAACAUCGCUGUAGUUGGAGCGAGGGUCGCUGCGCCCUGAUGGUCAUCAGCAGCAGGGCAGGAUGUUCAGCUCUCUGAACUGGGGCCUGGAUUGUGUGUACCUUGGCUCCUCACCUAUCUUCUCAGUCCUCCCCCUGUGGAAGCCCCUGAUAUCAGAGACAAAAUGGUGCUGAUGUCUACUGGUUAUGAUUCAGAUGUUAAUGUACUAGUAAUCCAUGACGUUCCUUCUGCAUGCAAACAAACAAUGCUGGACGAACAGUCCAGGGCCUGUGACAUUGCCAAACACACCGUGGAAGGUUUAGCUUCUCUUGUCCUUUCUGGUUUUCUCUGGUGGCAUCACCCGAGUUCCUCAUUUGCUGGUUUUCCUUCUUUGAAUUAGGGCAAUAAUGCUGAAUUUACUGUAAUUCAUGGUAUUUUCAUGUCUGUGCGCGUGAGUUCCCUGAACAACCAGGGUUUUCCAAGAAUCUUAAAAAUAUUCACUUCUUUGCUCACAAGGGUUGAAACCUUGAGAGAGUGUGUAUAUAUCUCCCUAUCCAUGUCUGAUGAGCCUCUUGAAAUACCCAGUUAAAUGAGCUUUGGAGAUUGCUAGUGACAAAAAUUAUUGUUAUGGAUUUGUCUCAUUUCCAUGCCAAAAAUUUAAUACAUCCGUACCUGUCCUUGAUGUCAGCUGUGCUUCUCAAAAGCUGUUCAAAAGCAACGUUCCCGUUUAUGUACUAGAGAAUUACAUUCUCGGAGCAGUCCUGAAUACUUCCCGGUGGCCAUCGGCAGGAGAAAGUGAAUUUAUGCAAAGCGAGAGAGACUUAUCGGGCCUGUGCAGAUUUGAUUUUGAGAAUGAAGUGGCAUAGAAGAUAGAGCUGGAGCUGUAGAAAAGUGCUAGCUUUUAAAAAAAAAAAUUAAAAAAAAAAAUCCCAAACCAGUCGCAUUCCUUCUAAAUUAAAAGCAGCUGAAAUGUAGUUAAAGUUUUGCUGUGAUGCCACCUACGGGAUUUCUGUGGGGAAUACAACCCUGGCCAGUGUUUGUAUUUUUAAUCUUUGGGUUGAAGUUUUGUUUUAGAACCACAAGAGCAUGAUGUCCCCUUGAGUCAAUCAAAACAAAUGUUUCCCACUUGGUCCCUAGCUCUUUCUGUAUUGAAUUCAAGGAAGGUUAUAUUCCCUCUCAGAAACUUUGGCAUGCUGCCUUCAGCAAAUACAAAUCUGAGCCAAACACCUCGUACGACUUAGGAACCGCUUUCAGUUCCUGUUACAGUCCGCAGAAGCAUUUCUAAAAAGGCCCUUAGCGCAUACGAGAUCCGUCUUGUAAAAAAAUCACCACAGUAAUACAAUCUACGAAAAAUCUUUUGAGUUGCUGAAGACAUAACAGCAGUAUCCUCUGAAAAUGAUACAAAUUUGGGGGAGUAGAAGAUUUCUGUAUUAAAGGGUUAUCAUUUUGAAGCCAUAAAUAAAAACAAACCUUAAACAAAAAAUAAAUCCAAAGUUUUAACACAAGUAGUCCAAAGUGAACAUCCUGAACCCUAGAGGAGUGAUCUGGGUGCUAAAUGUUCACAGUAGAGAUAGCUGGGUUACGGCUGUGAGUCACCAAGCUGUGAAUUUGAGGCAAGACCUUUCAUUUGACACUGCAGGAAGGGCCAUAACAUACAAGGAAAAAUACAUACCUUUGAGAAAUAUGUGUGUAGUACAUUUUCAACUCACUUGACUCUUUUCAACCACAGAGCUAUCGUAAUAGUAAUACACAGAGCUUUUGUUCUUGUCAAGAGGGGGGCUGCUGGAUGUUUAGCUACUUUAAUUCUGACAGGUAGGGACUGGACAAAUUCAACCUCCUUGCCGAGUCGGUGCCAGUGUCAAAUACCUCCCUGGUGGAUGCAGCACAGCGCUCCGUGGGAUGGCUACAGCUUCUCCAAGCUUUAUUAUGGAAUCACACAAUGGUUGAGGCGGCAAGAGACCUCUUCAGAUCAUCUAAUCCAACCCCUGCUCAAAGCAGGGCCACCUAGAGCCCAGGACUGUGCCCAAUCAUGUGUUGAAUGUCUUCAAGGAUGGAUGAUCUAUUCAGCUUCUCCAGGCAACCUUGACCUUCUCCAGGCUUGACCAGUCUCACAGUAGGAGUGUUUCCUUGUGUUCAGAUGGAAUUUGGGGUUUCUCAUUUGUGCCUGUGGCCUCUUGUCCUGUCAGCAGGCUCUGCUGAGACGACCCUGGCUCACGCUUCUCCGUUCCCUCCUUUCAAGCAUCCACACACAUUGAUGUGAUCCCUCCCCCUGCUUCCUCCUCGAGCCUUCUCUUCUCCAGGCUGAACAGUUCCCACUCUCCCAGCCUUUCCUCAAGGGUGAGAUGCCCCAGCCCCUUCAUCACACUGGCAUUUGCUGGCUCCCUCCAUGCUCAUGGGUGCAACCUGUCCGGGCCCAUGGACUGAUGUAUGUCCACUGCGUUUAAAUGUGCCCUAACUGGGUGCUCCUCCACCAAGGAGGAGUAAGUCUUCCCUGCUACAGACCUCCCCUCUUGUCUCAGGCACGUGGAGUUUCUGAAGCCUUGUCUUAGUAAAGUCUGAGGUGAAGGCGGCCUUGAGUACCUUGGCCUGGUCCAUCUCCUGUGUCACCAGCCCCUCCCUGCUGCGUUUCGCAGAGGGGCCACGUUUUCCCUAGUUUUCCUUUUUAUGUACUUGUCAAAAUGUUUUUUGGUCGCCCUUCGCGUCCCUUGCCAGAUUAUGAAUGUGUCCUUGGAAGACUGGCAUCUGUCAAUAAUAAUGUAAGUCUAUUGCGGUACGCAGUAAAAAAGUUAUCAAAGAUCAGCAGCAGCUGCACACGCGUUUACUAAGAAUAAAUGUUCUGGCUAUGGUCUAGUAUGAAACAUCUACUCUGCUGUUAAAAAAAAUCAGAGUAUGGCGGGACAACACAGUUGCUACACGCAUGCCGCCUUUGUCUUCACCUGGAUCAGCUCGUGUCUGAUGUACAACAACAGUGCCAUACAAAGGAAACUCAGGUGAACUGUUCCGUUUUGGAAAUUUUAUUAUGGCAUUGAGAACAAAUACUGAAUAAUUAGUUCAUUUCCGGAGUUCGUUCCGGUGGUGUUAACUCGGCCUGCUUAUUGACGUGGGUAUUUGCUAUUUUAUUUUAUUUACUUGUUGAGCGCAAGCACGAGCGUGCUUCUUCUAAUUGCAUAGCAGAAAAUGAACAUGAGCCACAGUGGAUCACGAGUUACACCAUCAGAGCAAGACGGGUCACAGUAAUGGUGACAUUUUGUGCCUCAAGUGGCGCUUCUGUACUACCCAGAUCCUUGAUGCAAUAACAAUGGUGUGAAAAGCUCAAAGAGAAUUUCUGAGUCUCUGGCCUUUGCCCACACCGAUGUUGUUUGCCUCUGAAGUUUUUAAACGCUUGCCAAGAGAAACUUCUCUCUGUGAACACAACAGAUGUGCUAGUACCGGAUUGUAAUCAACCCCUUGCAUACUUUUGAGUAUGCUUAAACCUGGCUAAAAAAAAAGAAAAAAAAAUAAUCACUCUAAGAAUAAUGAAACGCGCUCUUGAGGAGUUACCCCGUGCACUGUUCCUUAGGGCAGUGAGGGCAGCUCCCCUCUGACCGGGCAGGCAUUCCUAGAGCACAAUCUUUCUUACCCUACAACACAUAUUUAAAAUACACCACCAUCUGACUCGCCCUGAAAAUGCUUAUUUCUCUCCGCGGGCAAGAUAGGAACCACGGGUGGCUGGUUCAGCUGCAGACCUCUGUGGUUUGAAUAUUUAAAGGGUAGGCGGGUUAACCCAGCUUCAGGCUCAGCAGGGCGGACGCACGCGCGCACGCGCUUGACCCCAGCUUUCCCACAGCAGAGUCUCAGGCAUCGGAUUUUAUAAAAUAAUUAAUUUAAGUGGAAGGUACAGCAGGAAGGAGAGCCUGGGCCGGGUGCCUCCAAAGAGAGGGACCCUGAAAAAAGAAAUCCCUGGGCAAUUAUACCCUUGUGAUCCAUACACCCGCCCCCCACGUGCUCUUCACACAUUGUCCACGCCUCUUUUAGUCCAAUGGUGACUUUUAGUCUGGGGGUCUUCUAACAUCUUAUUGGAUUCUUUUUCUGUGUCCAGGCAGGCAGGCUCUUACCCUGUUGAUUUGCAGUUUCAGAUGAGGGUUGGAGCCUCCUUAUCUUCUGGUUUACACUCCAUGUGCCCCUGCAGGCACUGGCAGAAUGUGGAGAACUGAAGAGUCCCAGAGUUGGUAAACAUGCUGUCAAAACAUCAGUGUGAUAUCAACAUUUUCCCCAUAGUAAAAGACUAAAUGCAGCACUGUACCAGCUGCUAGGAAAAUUACUAAGAAAAAUAAGUCUAUCAUGGCCUAUAGGCUUCAGCAAAGCUAGCUACUCAUGCUAAGUAAAGCCAGGCAAACAGCACAAAUCAAACCAUAUUAUAAUCCUAAGUAAUUUAUUCUAAUUAAAACUUACGUAUUUACGCUAAACAACUAAUAUCACUCAACACUUGAGCUUGCUGGUGAUGGUGCAUCCCCAUUAUAUCCCAUAUGGAUGGAAAUAGUUUCCAUCUCUCUUUCCUGUUUGUAAUAAACAUUCUGUAUUUGGUUUCAUUCCGCUGACUCUUUCUGCCUGUAGUUGCUCCUGUUGUAACCUUCUAAAGCUAGAAAGACAGUAUUUCGUAAUUAAUACAUUUCAGGAUAUGAUUAGAGGCCAUAAUUUCACUGGCUUUGACUGAAGAGCUGAACACGUGUGAAAUUGUGAUUGGAGUGUUUAGAGUCACAACUCUCUAUACCCUGUUAAUACCGUGGUGGUCAUUAGUUGCAAAAUAAUGAGGGCAAACCUUGUACUACGCAGAAGUAGGUAUCUGUUACUGUGAUACCAUCUUUUAAAUGCAUCAGGAACUGCUAGCUGUGUUGAGAUAGAUAAACUCUGGAAGAUAGCUAACCGAAUUCCUUCUUUUUUACAGUGUGUCAUAAGCAGGGGAAGUCCACGUCUGGCAUCAGAAUUCAAACGGAAAGUUGUGAAACGACAGCAGUUGUUUCAUUUGGAGAAAAAAAAAACACAACUAAAAAAAAUAAAAAAGACUUGGAAAACUUAAUUCGUGACUUGCAAUGUGGGAUUCAUCAGCAGAACCACAGAUAGAUACACUAGCGAUGCUAACACACAAGCUUCCACUGCAGGUUGGAGUCAAGAGAGGUAUUUUACUUUUAAUUAAAUACUCUGCAAUUUUCAAGUCGAUUUGAUGGGACACAGGAAAAGAGCUGCUGUGGUAAUAAAACAUUUCUAUACACGCACUACUGUUCAUUUGUACUGACAAGUAAAUGUUCAAGUCACAGUUAGUGCAACUAAUGGGAAAAAAAAAAAAAAGCUGGGAGCUAUGUGCUGAUAGGAAUUGUGGAAAGACUCCAAGAAUAUGGAAGAAGAGAUAGGCGUCUGUUUUCAUAUUGUUAAAAUGACUGUGACUAACUCUGCAAGCAAUUCUCUAAACUUUUCCAGUGCCCAUAGUCUUCGCUAUGCUGCAGUGAAGGACACGGCAACAAGGAGGAGCGAUGAAGGGACAUGGCAUGUAAUUUACGUAGUGCCUUGUUUUAACCAUAAGCUGAAGAAAUAAUAUCAGCAAUUCCAAAUAGCCUUUUUUUGGGGGGAGUAAAAACAAUAGCAACACAAAACCCUAGAAAAUUCAGUCAUAAAAGCUUUGUAAAUGCCAACUUAUGGUUUUGUGGUGGUAUCCCAUGCCUUUAAGAAAAUCAAGUUUCAAUCAAAUGAGAUUUAUGAAAACAGGGAAUCUAAACCUACUGGUUUCCAUUGCACAGAGAAGGCCACAUCUGAUGAUUUUUUUAAUACAUUAUUUUAUCCAACACUUUAGUUACUUGCGGGCGCGCUAGUAUUGAUAAAACCUGUGUAGCGCAGCACUGGAAUUAAGGAUCCAUGUUGUCUUAGAGCGUACUAGAAGCAGUCAGAAAUC